Camelus ferus (Wild Bactrian camel) is the source of this 73-nucleotide non-coding RNA. Lineage: Eukaryota; Metazoa; Chordata; Mammalia; Artiodactyla; Camelidae. The record is from Rfam.
GGAGGGUACAGCUCAGUGGUAGAGCAUGUGCUUAGCGUGCCCGAGGUCCUGGGUUCAAUCUCCAGUCCCUCUA